GAAAUGCGAUAAGUAGUGUGAAUUGCAGAAUUCAGUGAAUCAUCGAAUCUUUGAACGCACAUUGCGCCCCUUGGUAUUCCAUGGGGCAUGCCUGUUCGAGCGUCAUUUGUACCCUCAAGCUCUGCUUGGUGAUGGGUGUUUGUCCCCGUCUCCGCGCGUGGACUCGCCCCAAAGUGAUUGGCAGCCGGCGUACUGGUCCCGGAGCGCAGCACAUGUCGCGCAAACGAGUGCCUUGGUACGGCGGCGUCCAUAAGCCCCUCUCUCACGCUCUUGACCUCGGAUCAGGUAGGGAUACCCGCUGAACUUAAGC
This 310-nucleotide unclassified non-coding RNA is filed under the name plant metagenome. RNAcentral describes it as "partial contains 5.8S ribosomal RNA, internal transcribed spacer 2, and large subunit ribosomal RNA". The stretch from base 1 to 105 matches the Rfam family "5.8S ribosomal RNA", at positions 50 to 154 of the family's 154-position model. The record is from RNAcentral.